This 123-nucleotide ribosomal RNA is filed under the name Lepisosteus oculatus (spotted gar). The record is from RNAcentral. Lineage: Eukaryota; Metazoa; Chordata; Actinopteri; Semionotiformes; Lepisosteidae.
GCCAGUAGCCAUAUCAUUCACCAUGCAACUCACAACUGGCAACCCAUUGAACCUAAGCAGGUGUGAGCCUGGUCAGUACCUGGAUGGGAGACCUCCUGGGAAAAACUAAGGUUGCUGCUGGAA